RNAcentral lists this ribosomal RNA (760 nucleotides) under uncultured Prevotella sp. RNAcentral's name for it is "bacterial SSU rRNA". It matches the Rfam family "Bacterial small subunit ribosomal RNA", at positions 28 to 776 of the family's 1533-position model. Lineage: Bacteria; Pseudomonadati; Bacteroidota; Bacteroidia; Bacteroidales; Prevotellaceae. The record is from RNAcentral.
GAUGAACGCUGGCUACAGGCUUAACACAUGCAAGUCGAGGGGAAACGACGGGGAAGCUUGCUUCCUUGGGCGUCGACCGGCGCACGGGUGAGUAACGCGUAUCCAACCUGCCUCUGACUGAGGGAUAACCCGUCGAAAGUCGGCCUAAUACCUCAUGGCAUCGUCUGCGGGCAUCCAACGACGAUUAAAGAUUUCAUCGGUCAGGGAUGGGGAUGCGUCUGAUUAGCUUGUUGGCGGGGUAACGGCCCACCAAGGCUACGAUCAGUAGGGGUUCUGAGAGGAAGGUCCCCCACAUUGGAACUGAGACACGGUCCAAACUCCUACGGGAGGCAGCAGUGAGGAAUAUUGGUCAAUGGGCGAGAGCCUGAACCAGCCAAGUAGCGUGCAGGAUGACGGCCCUAUGGGUUGUAAACUGCUUUUAUGCGGGGAUAAAGUGAGGGACGUGUCCUUCAUUGCAGGUACCGCAUGAAUAAGGACCGGCUAAUUCCGUGCCAGCAGCCGCGGUAAUACGGAAGGUCCUGGCGCUAUCCGGAUUUAUUGGGUUUAAAGGGAGCGUAGGCCGUGGAUUAAGCGUGUUGUGAAAUGCAGGUGCUCAACGUCUGCACUGCAGCGCGAACUGGUCCACUUGAGUGUGCGCAACGCAGGCGGAAUUCGUCGUGUAGCGGUGAAAUGCUUAGAUAUGACGAAGAACUCCGAUUGCGAAGGCAGCCUGCGGGAGCACAACUGACGCUGAAGCUCGAAAGUGCGGGUAUCGAACAGG